GAUGAACGCUAGCUACAGGCUUAACACAUGCAAGUCGAGGGGCAGCAUGAUUGAAGCUUGCUUCAAUCGAUGGCGACCGGCGCACGGGUGAGUAACACGUAUCCAACCUGCCGAUAACUCGGGGAUAGCCUUGCGAAAGUAAGAUUAAUGCCCGGUGUUCCGCGAGGGCCGCAUGGCCUUUUCGGCAAAGUUUUUUUACGGAUGAGAUGGCGGUGCGUCCCAUUAGCUUGUUGGCGGGGUAACGGCCCACCAAGGCGACGAUGGGUAGGGGUUCUGAGAGGAAGGUCCCCCACAUUGGAACUGAGACACGGUCCAA
Molecule: ribosomal RNA, 316 nt
Filed under: uncultured bacterium
Lineage: Bacteria
Description: bacterial SSU rRNA
Rfam family: Bacterial small subunit ribosomal RNA
Source: RNAcentral